This 488-nucleotide ribosomal RNA is filed under the name uncultured bacterium. RNAcentral describes it as "partial 16S ribosomal RNA". It matches the Rfam family "Bacterial small subunit ribosomal RNA", at positions 28 to 507 of the family's 1533-position model. The record is from RNAcentral.
GAUGAACGCUAGCGGCAGGCUUAAUACAUGCAAGUCGUGGGGCAGCAGGACUGUAGCACUACAGUUGCUGGCGACCGGCAAACGGGUGCGGAACACGUACGCAACUUACCCUUAACUGGGGGAUAGCCCGGGGAAACCCGGAUUAAUACCCCGUAAUAUAAUUGAGUGCAUCCCUUUAUUAUUAAAGCUCCGGCGGUUCGGGAUGGGCGUGCGGCUGCUUAGGUAGUUGGUUGAGGUAACGGCUCACCAAGCCUACGAUCAGUAACUGGUGUGAGAGCACGACAAGUGACACGGGAACUGAGACACGGGCCCGAAUCAUACGGGAGGCAGCAGUAAGGAAUAUUGGGCAAUGGAGGCAACUCUGACCCAGCCAUGCCGCGUGGAGGAUGAAGGCGCUCGGGGUUGUAAACUUCUUUUAUAGGGGACGAAACCUGUGUAUUCUUACGCAGUUGACGGUACCCUAGGAAUAAGCACCGGCUAACUCCGUG